GGAAUAUUGCACAAUGGGGGAAACCCUGAUGCAGCAACGCCGCGUGAAGGAAGACGGUUUUCGGAUUGUAAACUUCUUUUCUUAGUGAAGAAUAACGUGACGGUAGUUAAGGAAUAAGCAUCGGCUAACUACGUGCCAGCAGCCGCGGUAAUACGUAGGAUGCGAGCGUUAUCCGGAAUUACUGGGUGUAAAGGGAGCGCAGGCGGGACUGCAAGUUGGAUGUGAAAUGCCGCAGCUUAACUGCGGAGCUGCAUCCAAAACUGUAGUUCUUGAGUAGAGUAGAGGCAAGCGGAAUUCCGAGUGUAGCGGUAAAAUGCGUAGAUAUUCGGAGGAACACCGGUGGCGAAGGCGGCUUGCUGGGCUCUAACUGACGCUGAGGCUCGAAAGUGUGGGGAGCAA
RNAcentral lists this ribosomal RNA (399 nucleotides) under uncultured bacterium. Its description in RNAcentral is "bacterial SSU rRNA". It matches the Rfam family "Bacterial small subunit ribosomal RNA", at positions 358 to 771 of the family's 1533-position model. The record is from RNAcentral.